RNAcentral lists this long non-coding RNA (1133 nucleotides) under Homo sapiens (human). RNAcentral's name for it is "novel transcript". Lineage: Eukaryota; Metazoa; Chordata; Mammalia; Primates; Hominidae. The record is from RNAcentral.
UCCCACGCAGCCCGCGGCCUGAAAGGCUGGUCUCACUCCCACUGAGUGGCUUGCAUAUGAUCUUAUAUAUACUCUCACUCUCACUCCUGGCUUGUAUAUGAUCUUAUACAAGUUAGAAAAGCAAGCUGACUCACAGUUUCUUGGCUCUCCCACAGAGCCUGCAGUGGCUAUCCACCUCCUUCAAAGGGUCUGUGGAUUCUCUUGGCUUUCCUGGAAUGCCUGUUACUAUGCAUCUAACAAAGGACUAAAAUCCAGAAUCUACAAGGAACUAAACUCAACAAGAAAAAAUAAUCUCAUUAACAAGUGGGGAAAAGAUAGGAACAGACAUUUCUCAAAAGAAGAUAUACAAGAGGACAAGAAACAUAAAAUAAAAUGCUCAAUAUCACUAACCGUCAGUGAAAUGCAAGUUAAAACCACAAUGAGAUGCCACAUCACACCGGUCGGAAUGGCCAUUAUUAAAAAGUCAAAAAACCACAGAUGUCGACAAAGAUGCAGAGAAAAGGGAGCACUUAUACACCGUUGGUGCGAAUAUGAAUUAGUACAACCUCUAUGGACAACAGUAUAGAGAUUUCUCAAAGAAGUAAAAAUAGAACCACCAUUAGGCCCAGCAAUCCCACUACUGGGUAUCUACCCAAAGAAAGAGAAAUUGUUAUAUAUAUAUAUCUGCACUCAUAUGUUUAUCACUGCACUAGUCGCAGUAACAAAGUCAUGGAAUGAACCUAAGUUUCCAUCAAAAGAUGAUUGGAUAAAGAAAAUGUGGAAUACCAUGAAAUACUACACAUCCGUAGAAAAAAAAUUAUGUCUUCUGCAGCAACAUGGAUGUAACUGGAGGUCAAAAUACUCAGAAACACAACAUCAAAUACCACAUGUUCUCACUUAUAAAUGGGAGACAUGUACAAACAGAGAAAAAUAGUCAAGGCUGGGGACUUUAAAAGAGGGGCUUGGGAGGGACUUGAGAGUUGAAAAAUUACCUACUGGAUACAAUGUUCAUUAUUCAGGUAAUAGGAACAUUAGAAGCCCAAAUCUCAGCUUUCCACAAUAUAUCCAUGUGACAAAUCUGCAUAUAUACCCACUGAAUCUAUAAAAAUAAAAUGAAUAAAUUUUAAAAAGCAUGUUUCAACACUUCAUAGAAA